CCUACGGGGGGCUGCAGUAGGGAAUCUUCCGCAAUGGACGAAAGUCUGACGGAGCAACGCCGCGUGAGCGAAGAAGGUCUUCGGAUCGUAAAGCUCUGUUGUUAGGGAAGAACAAGUACGGGAGGAAAUGACCGUACCUUGACGGUACCUGACGAGGAAGCCACGGCUAACUACGUGCCAGCAGCCGCGGUAAUACGUAGGUGGCAAGCGUUGUCCGGAAUUAUUGGGCGUAAAGCGCGCGCAGGCGGUCUUUUAAGUCUGAUGUGAAAUCUUGCGGCUCAACCGCAAGCGGUCAUUGGAAUCUGUGGGAAUUGGGUGGCGAGGAGGAGAGCGGGAUUCAACGUUUGGAGGUGAAAUGCGUAGAGAUGUGGAAGAACACCAGUGGCGAAGGCGGCUUUCUGGUCUGUAACUGACGCUGAGGCGCGAAAGCGUGGGGAGAAAACAGGAUUAGAUACCCUUGUAGUC
This 465-nucleotide ribosomal RNA is filed under the name uncultured bacterium. Its description in RNAcentral is "bacterial SSU rRNA". It matches the Rfam family "Bacterial small subunit ribosomal RNA", at positions 338 to 795 of the family's 1533-position model. The record is from RNAcentral.